UACGUAGGGCGCGAGCGUUGUCCGGAAUUAUUGGGCGUAAAGAGCUCGUAGGCGGCCUGUUGCGUCUGCUGUGAAAUCCCGGGGCUUAACCCCGGGCGUGCAGUGGAUACGGGCAGGCUGGAGGCAGGCAGGGGAGAACGGAAUUCCCGGUGUAGCGGUGAAAUGCGCAGAUAUCGGGAGGAACACCGGUGGCGAAGGCGGCCUUCUGGACAGUGACUGACGCUGAGACGCGAAAGCGUGGGGAGCAAACAGG
This 253-nucleotide ribosomal RNA is filed under the name uncultured bacterium. RNAcentral's name for it is "partial 16S ribosomal RNA". It matches the Rfam family "Bacterial small subunit ribosomal RNA", at positions 524 to 776 of the family's 1533-position model. The record is from RNAcentral.